RNA transcript from Mandrillus leucophaeus (drill), 2325 nucleotides. It is a transcript of the gene named regulator of chromosome condensation pseudogene, with no coding region annotated. Lineage: Eukaryota; Metazoa; Chordata; Mammalia; Primates; Cercopithecidae. The transcript has a single exon. The record is from RefSeq and is a predicted model, not a curated record.
GGCCGACGUGCACCGAGGACAGGAAGAUGUCACCCAAGCGCAUAGCUAAAAGAAGGUCCCCCCUAGCAGAUGCCAUCCCCAAAAGCAAGAAGGUGAAGGAUGCGAGGGCCGCUGCCUCCCGCCACGUUCCUGGUGCCCGCUCCUGCCAAGUCUCACACAGGUCCCACAGCACAGAACCCGGCUUGGUGCUGACACUAGGCCAGGGCGAUGUGGGCCAGCUGGGGCUGGGUGAGAAUGUGAUGGAGAGGAAGAAGCCAGCCCUGGUAUCCAUUCCAGAGGAUGUUGUGCAGGCUGAGGCUGGGGGCAUGCACACCGUGUGUCUAAGCAAAAGUGGCCGGGUCUAUUCCUUUGGCUGCAAUGAUGAGGGUGCCCUGGGAAGGGACACAUCAGUGAAGGGCUCGGAGAUGAUCCCUGGGAAAGUGGAGCUGCAAGAGAAGGUGGUACAGGUGUCAGCAGGAGACAGUCACACAGCAGCCCUCACGGAGGAUGGCCAUGUCUUCCUCUGGGGCUCCUUCCAGGACAAUAACGGUGUGAUUGGGCUGUUGGAGCCCAUGAAUAAGAGCAUGGUGCCUGUGCAGGUGCAGCUGGACGUGCCUGUGGUAAAGGUGGCCUCAGGAAACGACCACUUGGUGAUGCUGACAGCUGAUGGUGACCUCUACACUUUGGGCUGCGGGGAACAGGGCCAGCUAGGCUGUGUGCCUGAGUUAUUUGCCAACCGUGGUGGCCGGCAAAGUCUUGAAUGACUCCUGGUCUCCAAGUGUGUGAUGCUGAAAUCCAGGGGAAGCCGGGGCCACGUGAGAUUCCAGGAUGCCUUUUGUGGUGCCUACUUCACCUUUGCCAUCUCCCACGAGGGCCACGUGUACGGCUUUGGCCUCUCCAACUACCAUCAGCUUGGAACUCCGGACACAGAAUCUUGCUUCAUACUCCAGAACCUAACAUCCUUCAAGAAUUCCACCAAGUCCUGGGUGGGCUUCUCUGGUGGCCAGCACCAUACAGUCUGCAUGGAUUCAGAAGGAAGAGCAUACAGCCUGGGCCAGGCUGAGUAUGGGCGGCUGGGCCUUGGGGAGGGUGCUGAGGAGAAGAGCAUACCCACCCUCAUCUCCAGGCUGCCUGCUGUCUCCUCAGUGGCUUGUGGGGCCUCUGUGGGGUAUGCUGUGACCAAGGAUGGUUGUGUUUUCGCCUGGGGCAUGGGCACCCACUACCAGCUGGGCACAGGGCAGGAUGAGGACGCCUGGAGCCCUGUGGAAAUGAGGGGCAAACAACUGGAGAACCAUGUGGUCUUAUCUGUGUCCAGCGGGGGCCACCAUACAGUCUUAUUAGUCAAGGACAAGGAACAGAGCUGAUGAAGCCUCUGAGGGCCUGGCUUCUGUCCCACUCAACCUCCCUCACAGAACAGGGAAGCAGUGACAGCUGCAGAUGGCAGCGGGCCUCUCCCCAGCCCUGAGCACUAUGUCAGCUCCUGCCUUUUCCCAUCAGCAGAACAGCAUCCUUUUCCUAUUUUUCUUCCUCCUCUUUGGAAUUCUCCUGGGACCUACAGAAUAAAGGAGGGGAUGGACAGGGGAUUUUCAGAAGGAACAUGGCUCGUUCCAGAGCUAUAUGGUUAGACGUUUCUCCCCUUUUCCCUACCUUCCAUGGUCCUGGUUGGCCUGGGCUUUACCUACUAGAAAACCAAAACCUCCCCCUUGGGGUUUGGUGCCCACUCUCUGAGAAGUUGGGUUCCAUCAAGCCCCAGUCUAGUCAUGUGCCCCUUUCCUGUCUCUAACAGUCUACAGGCAAACCAAUGGUACAGUCAUAAGACCCGUCUGUCAUGGACCCACGCCCAGAGAAACGUGCAGAAAAAGCAGAGCUGCAUGGCUGUGGGCAACUCUAAGCCAAAUAUUUGGCUCAGAACAGGUGUCCAUGGGACAAAAAAGAAUGAUCCUCCACUUGACCAAGAGAAAAAUGAUUCUCCCAGAAGCACAAAGCGUACUCUUGCCCCUCAGGCAUUGCCUUUGUCCAUCGCACCCACCCAUUCAUCUUUACCUGCAGCCAAGGGCCUGGAAUCGCAAAGAGAAGCCACGCUGGGCUGGGCAGAGCAGGGCAGGGUAUGGGGUGGGGAGAGAGGGUGGAGGGUUUUAUAAACAAACUUAACAGCAAUAAUAAAAGGGGAGGGAUUGAAGGAGGGACAGAGUGUUGGAGGGCCAGAGACUAGUCCUGAGAUGGAAACAGCAACUUGUACAGUGGCUGAGAAAAUAGGAUAUAGUUUUAAUUUUUUUAAAUUGUAAAAUAUUUUGGAGGGAGAACAAAAUCUUUUAACAUUUUGAAUAAAUUUAGAGUUUUAUUAAA